GGAACUAGUGGCCAGCGGCGGGGGGAAUACGGAGGUGACGGGGGGUGUCCGGAGUUACUGGGCGUAAAGGGGGCGCAGGCGGCCUGUGCAGGUGUCGGGUGAAAGCGCCCGGGUUAACUGGGAGGGGUCCAGGCAAACGGCCAGGCUUGAGCGUCGGAGAGGGGCAUGGAAUUCCGGGUGGAGCGGUGAAAUGCGUAGAGAUCCGGAGGAACACCAAUGGCGAAGGCAGUGCCCUGGCCGACGGCUGACGCUCAGGCGCGAAAGCGUGGGGAGCAAACAGGAUUAGAUACCCGGGUAGUC
Molecule: ribosomal RNA, 300 nt
Filed under: uncultured Paenibacillus sp.
Lineage: Bacteria; Bacillati; Bacillota; Bacilli; Caryophanales; Paenibacillaceae
Description: bacterial SSU rRNA
Rfam family: Bacterial small subunit ribosomal RNA
Source: RNAcentral